CCUACGGGCGGCAGCAGUGGGGAAUAUUGGACAAUGGGGGGAACCCUGAUCCAGCCAUGCCGCGUGUGUGAAGAAGGCCCUCGGGUUGUAAAGCACUUUCAGUGAGGAAGAACGGCUGGUGGUUAAUACCCAUCAGGAAAGACAUCACUCACAGAAGAAGCACCGGCUAACUCCGUGCCAGCAGCCGCGGUAAUACGGAGGGUGCGAGCGUUAAUCGGAAUUACUGGGCGUAAAGCGCGCGUGGGUGGCUUGAUAAGCCGGUUGUGAAAGCCCCGGGCUCAACCUGGGAACGGCAUCCGGAACUGUCAAGCUAGAGUGCAGGAGAGGAAGGUAGAAUUCCCGGUGUAGCGGUGAAAUGCGUAGAGAUCGGGAGGAAUACCAGUGGCGAAGGCGGCCUUCUGGACUGACACUGACACUGAGGUGCGAAAGCGUGGGUAGCAAACAGGAUUAGAUACCCUGGUAGUC
This 465-nucleotide ribosomal RNA is filed under the name Vreelandella stevensii. RNAcentral's name for it is "partial 16S ribosomal RNA". It matches the Rfam family "Bacterial small subunit ribosomal RNA", at positions 338 to 795 of the family's 1533-position model. The record is from RNAcentral. Lineage: Bacteria; Pseudomonadati; Pseudomonadota; Gammaproteobacteria; Oceanospirillales; Halomonadaceae.